This 407-nucleotide ribosomal RNA is filed under the name uncultured bacterium. Its description in RNAcentral is "partial 16S ribosomal RNA". It matches the Rfam family "Bacterial small subunit ribosomal RNA", at positions 30 to 526 of the family's 1533-position model. The record is from RNAcentral.
AUUGAACGCUGGCGGCAGGCCUAACACAUGCAAGUCGAGCGGAGCGGCGGACGGGUGAGUAAUGCCUAGGAAUCUGCCUGGUAGUGGGGGAUAACGUCCGGAAACGGGCGCUAAUACCGCAUACUAUCAGAUGAGCCUAGGUCGGAGUAGCUAGUUUGUGGGGUAAAGGCCUACCAAGGCGACGAUCCGUCACUGGUCUGAGAGGAUGAUCAGUCACAUGUGAACUGAGACACGGUCCAGCUUCUGACGGUAGGCAGCAGUGGGGAAUAUUGUACAAUGGGCGAAAGCCUGAUCCAGCCAUGCCGCGUGUGUGAAGAAGUUCUUCGGAUUGUAAAGCACUUUAAGUUGGGAGGCGUUACCAACAGAAUAAGCACCGGCGAACGUCGUGCCAGCAGCCGCGGUAAUAC